RNAcentral lists this signal recognition particle RNA (102 nucleotides) under Oscillospiraceae bacterium. RNAcentral describes it as "signal recognition particle sRNA small type". It matches the Rfam family "Bacterial small signal recognition particle RNA". From Rfam's summary of the family: The signal recognition particle (SRP) is a universally conserved ribonucleoprotein involved in the co-translational targeting of proteins to membranes. Archaeal SRP consists of a 7S RNA and homologues of the eukaryotic SRP19 and SRP54 proteins. Lineage: Bacteria; Bacillati; Bacillota; Clostridia; Eubacteriales; Oscillospiraceae. The record is from RNAcentral.
AUUAGGGCCCUGUACGGCUUAGAUGUCGUGAAACAUGUCAGGCGGGGAACUGAGCAGCAUUAAGCGAAUUUUCUUUGCGCGAUAUCAGAAAGUCUUGGUUGC